This 253-nucleotide ribosomal RNA is filed under the name uncultured bacterium. RNAcentral describes it as "partial 16S ribosomal RNA". It matches the Rfam family "Bacterial small subunit ribosomal RNA", at positions 524 to 776 of the family's 1533-position model. The record is from RNAcentral.
UACAGAGGUGGCAAGCGUUGUUCGGAAUUACUGGGCGUAAAGGGCGCGUAGGCGGUCCUGUAAGUCUUGUGUGAAAUCCCUCGGCUUAACUGAGGAACUGCACGAGAUACUGCGAGACUUGAGUUCGGGAGAGGAAAGCGGAAUUCCGGGUGUAGCGGUGAAAUGCGUAGAUAUCCGGAGGAACACCGGGGGCGAAGGCGGCUUUCUGGACCGACACUGACGCUGAGGCGCGAAAGCUAGGGGAGCAAACGGG